AGAUUAAGUUAUUAAGGGCGCACGGUGGAUGCCUUGGCACUAGAAGCCGAUGAAGGACGUUACUAACGACGAUAUGCUUUGGGGAGCUGUAAGUAAGCUUUGAUCCAGAGAUUUCCGAAUGGGGAAACCCAGCAUGAGUUAUGUCAUGUUAUCGAUAUGUGAAUACAUAGCAUAUCAGAAGGCACACCCGGAGAACUGAAACAUCUUAGUACCCGGAGG
Molecule: ribosomal RNA, 219 nt
Filed under: Staphylococcus aureus
Lineage: Bacteria; Bacillati; Bacillota; Bacilli; Caryophanales; Staphylococcaceae
Description: partial 23S ribosomal RNA
Rfam family: Bacterial large subunit ribosomal RNA
Source: RNAcentral